This 642-nucleotide ribosomal RNA is filed under the name Embiophila sp. RNAcentral's name for it is "partial 12S ribosomal RNA". The record is from RNAcentral. Lineage: Eukaryota; Metazoa; Arthropoda; Insecta; Hemiptera; Plokiophilidae.
UGCCAGCAGUUGCGGUUAUACAGUAUGAUUUAAUUAACAAUUUUAAGUUGUAAGUUAAUUUUGUUGUUUAUAAUUAUUUUUGUUUUAAUUUAAGGUGAAAUUUUAUUAUAUGUUAUGGUGGAUGAUACUUGAAGAUUUAUUAUUAGAUAAGGAUUAGAUACCCUGGUAUUGUAGUUGUUAAUUUUUAUACUUUAUGAUUAUUAGUUAUGUUCUUUAAAAUAAAAGAUUUUGGCGGUAAUAUAUCUUUUUAGAGGAAUCUGUCUCGUAAUCGAUAAUCCACGAUGGAUUGUACUUUGAUUAUAUUACUUGUAUACCUCUAUUGAUGAGUGUUUUAAUAGGUUUAGAAUUCUCAUAAAUUAUUAAUAGUAAUUUAUUUUAGGUCAAGGUGUAGUUAUAUUAGAGUGAGGGUGGAUUACAUUGUUUGUAUUUAUAGUAGUUUUAAUGGAAUUUAAAACUUAAAUUGGAUUUAAUUGUAAUUUUUAAUUAAUAUAUUUUUUUGAUUUAAGCUCUAUGUUAUGCACACAUCGCCCGUCGCUCCCAAUAAUUGGGAUAAGUCGUAACAAAGUAGGCCCGCUGGAAGGGGGGCCUGGUUAGUUGAAGUUGGUUUGAUUUAUUUAUAAAUGAAGUUUAUACUACAACUUU